This 394-nucleotide ribosomal RNA is filed under the name uncultured bacterium. Its description in RNAcentral is "bacterial SSU rRNA". It matches the Rfam family "Bacterial small subunit ribosomal RNA", at positions 505 to 898 of the family's 1533-position model. The record is from RNAcentral.
GUGCCAGCAGCCGCGGUAAGACGAACCGUCCAAACGUUGUUCGGAAUCACUGGGCUUAAAGGGCGCGUAGGCGGUCGGCCAAGUCCGGGGUGAAAUCUUUCGGCCCAACCGGAAAACAGCUUUGGAUACUGGCUGACUUGAGGGAGGUAGGGGCAUGUGGAACUCUCGGUGGAACGGUGAAAUGUGUUGAUAUCGGGAGGAACACCGGUGGCGAAAGCGACGUGCUGGACCUCUUCUGACGCUGAGGCGCGAAAGCCAGGGGAGCAAACGGGAUUAGAUACCCCGGUAGUCCUGGCCCUAAACGAUGGGUACUGGGUAGUGGACUUGACAUGGGUUCACUGCCGAAGCAAAAGUGCUAAGUACCCCGCCUGGGGAGUAUGGUCGCAAGGCUGAA